AUUGAACGCUGGCGGCAGGCUUAACACAUGCAAGUCGAGCGGGGAAAGGUAGCUUGCUACAUUUCCUAGCGGCGGACGGGUGAGUAAUGCUUAGGAAUCUGCCUAUUAGUGGGGGACAACAUUCCGAAAGGAAUGCUAAUACCGCAUACGCCCUACGGGGGAAAGCAGGGGAUCUUCGGACCUUGCGCUAAUAGAUGAGCCUAAGUCAGAUUAGCUAGUUGGUGGGGUAAAGGCCUACCAAGGCGACGAUCUGUAGCGGGUCUGAGAGGAUGAUCCGCCACACUGGGACUGAGACACGGCCCAGACUCCUACGGGAGGCAGCAGUGGGGAAUAUUGGACAAUGGGCGAAAGCCUGAUCCAGCCAUGCCGCGUGUGUGAAGAAGGCCUUUUGGUUGUAAAGCACUUUAAGCGAGGAGGAGGCUACUUGGAUUAAUACUCUAGGAUAGUGGACGUUACUCGCAGAAUAAGCACCGGCUAACCCUGUGCCAGCCGCCGCGGUAA
This 501-nucleotide ribosomal RNA is filed under the name uncultured bacterium. RNAcentral's name for it is "partial 16S ribosomal RNA". It matches the Rfam family "Bacterial small subunit ribosomal RNA", at positions 30 to 523 of the family's 1533-position model. The record is from RNAcentral.